Molecule: ribosomal RNA, 477 nt
Filed under: Candidatus Scalindua brodae
Lineage: Bacteria; Pseudomonadati; Planctomycetota; Candidatus Brocadiia; Candidatus Brocadiales; Candidatus Scalinduaceae
Description: bacterial SSU rRNA
Rfam family: Bacterial small subunit ribosomal RNA
Source: RNAcentral
UUCGCAAUGCCCGAAAGGGUGACGAAGCGACGCCGCGUGGGUGAGGAAGGCCUUCGGGUUGUAAAGCCCUGUCAGGAGUUAAGAAAUAUAAGUGCGCUAAUAUCGCAUUUAUUUGACGAAGGCUCCAAAGGAAGCCACGGCUAACUCUGUGCCAGCAGCCGCGGUAAUACAGAGGUGGCAAGCGUUGUUCGGAAUUACUGGGCGUAAAGAGCACGUAGGUGGGUUUGUAAGUCAGAUGUGAAAGCCUUCUGUUCAACGGAAGAAUUGCAUCUGAAACUACAAGUCUUGAGUGUAGGAGGGGAGAAUGGAACUUCUGGUGGAGCGGUGAAAUGCGUAGAUAUCAGAAGGAACGCCGGCGGCGAAAGCGAUUCUCUGGCCUAUUACUGACACUCAGUGUGCGAAAGCUAGGGGAGCAAACGGGAUUAGAUACCCCGGUAGUCCUAGCUGUAAACGAUGGGCACUAAGUAGAGGGGUUUU